RNAcentral lists this transfer RNA (72 nucleotides) under Ariomma melana (brown driftfish). RNAcentral's name for it is "tRNA-Thr". It matches the Rfam family "tRNA". From Rfam's summary of the family: Transfer RNA (tRNA) molecules are approximately 80 nucleotides in length. Their secondary structure includes four short double-helical elements and three loops (D, anti-codon, and T loops). The record is from RNAcentral. Lineage: Eukaryota; Metazoa; Chordata; Actinopteri; Scombriformes; Ariommatidae.
GCAUAAGUAGCUCAGCGUCAGAGCGCCGGUCUUGUAAGCCGGACGUCGGAGGCUAAAAUCCUCCCUUUUGCU